RNAcentral lists this ribosomal RNA (538 nucleotides) under Lasiotrichius succinctus. RNAcentral's name for it is "eukaryotic LSU rRNA". It matches the Rfam family "Eukaryotic large subunit ribosomal RNA", at positions 710 to 1209 of the family's 3401-position model. Lineage: Eukaryota; Metazoa; Arthropoda; Insecta; Coleoptera; Scarabaeidae. The record is from RNAcentral.
AAAGGCGUAAUGAAAGUGAAGGCUUGCCUCGCGCGAGCCGAGGGAGGAUGGGUCGUCACGAGUGGCGGCCCCGCACUCCCAGGGCGUCUCGUUCUCAUCGCGAGAAGAGGCGCACCAAGAGCGUACACGCUGGGACCCGAAAGAUGGUGAACUAUGCCUGGUCAGGACGAAGUCAGGGGAAACCCUGAUGGAGGUCCGUAGCGAUUCUGACGUGCAAAUCGAUCGUCGGAACUGGGUAUAGGGGCGAAAGACUAAUCGAACCAUCUAGUAGCUGGUUCCCUCCGAAGUUUCCCUCAGGAUAGCUGGCGCUCGUCUCUGGCGAGUCUCAUUCGGUAAAGCGAAUGAUUAGAGGCAUUGGGGUCGAAACGGCCUCAACCUAUUCUCAAACUUUAAAUGGGUGAGAUCUCCGGCUUGCUUGAACUGUGAAGCCGCGAGAUAUCGGAUCAGAGUGCCAAGUGGGCCACUUUUGGUAAGCAGAACUGGCGCUGUGGGAUGAACCAAACGCUGAGUUAAAGCGCCUAAAUCGACGCUUAUGGGA